RNAcentral lists this ribosomal RNA (253 nucleotides) under uncultured bacterium. Its description in RNAcentral is "partial 16S ribosomal RNA". It matches the Rfam family "Bacterial small subunit ribosomal RNA", at positions 524 to 776 of the family's 1533-position model. The record is from RNAcentral.
GACGUAGGGCGCGAGCGUUGUCCGGAUUUAUUGGGCGUAAAGAGCUCGUAGGCGGCUUGUUGCGUCGACUGUGAAAACCCGCAGCUUAACUGCGGGCCUGCAGUUGAUACGGGCAGACUAGAGUGAUGUAGGGGAGACUGGAAUUCCUGGUGUAGCGGUGAAAUGCGCAGAUAUCAGGAGGAACACCGAUGGCGAAGGCAGGUCUCUGGGCAUUAACUGACGCUGAGGAGCGAAAGCAUGGGGAGCGAACAGG